GGGGUUGUGGCUCAGAGGUAGAGUGCUUGCCUAGCAUGCAUGAGGCACUGAGUUCAAUACUCAGCACCA
Molecule: transfer RNA, 69 nt
Filed under: Ictidomys tridecemlineatus (thirteen-lined ground squirrel)
Lineage: Eukaryota; Metazoa; Chordata; Mammalia; Rodentia; Sciuridae
Description: Spermophilus tridecemlineatus (thirteen-lined ground squirrel) tRNA
Rfam family: tRNA
About the family: Transfer RNA (tRNA) molecules are approximately 80 nucleotides in length. Their secondary structure includes four short double-helical elements and three loops (D, anti-codon, and T loops).
Source: Rfam by way of RNAcentral